This 4179-nucleotide long non-coding RNA is filed under the name Equus asinus (donkey). Its description in RNAcentral is "lncRNA (ENSEASG00005033464.1)". Lineage: Eukaryota; Metazoa; Chordata; Mammalia; Perissodactyla; Equidae. The record is from RNAcentral.
CUUCCUUCACAGAGAUGGUCGGUUUCUUCUGCCGAAGGCCCAGCAGGAUGAAAAAGAGGACCAGAGGGAUGAAGAUCUCGAAGGCCAAGACCCACUAGAGAGGGCAGGCUGAGUGAGGCCACCUGUGCAGGGCAGCCUGGCCUCCCAUGCCCCCUGCCCAGGGCUGGACAGGACAGACCCAAGACUUCCUCUCCCUGCCAGAUAGACAGACACUCCCCCUCACCCCCCCCCCCGAAGGGCCAGCCCAGCCUGGACCCUGCAUGCUCCCCCAGGGGCCAGAGGUCAACACAGGCUCUCCAGGGCCAAUGGAGGUUGCAGCUCCCUCCUCCAGGGCCUUUACAAAGGGCGAGAGGGCAAGCGCUGUCUGGCCCAAGCGAUCAGGUCUCCAGCCCUGCAGCCCAGAUUCUGCUUGCCACACUGAGGGCCAGCAGGGGCAAAUCCGCCAGCAUGAGUCCACGCUAACCCAUGCAUCUGCCCAGCUCAUCUUCUUCCCCACCUGCAGGACCAUCUGGGCAGAUCUCGGAGGUGGCCUCUGCCAACCUGCAGCUCCCACACUCCCUGGGGUCAGCCCUCCUCCCCACCAUUGCCACGCCACUAUGCCCCCACACAAGGGCCUAGGGAGACGCGGCAUGGCACUGGGGUGGUCUGGUUCUAGCCCACCUGAGCCUCCAGGAAGACCUGGGCAGGGUUCUGACACCUCCCAGUUCCCCAAGCACCUCCUUCUGCCCUGGCCCCUCUCCCUCACCCCAGAUGGCUCAGGUGGGCGUGGCAGCCCUGCCUGCUGGGGGCCUUUGCUCAGUGUUCCCAGGAUGGCUCCCACCACCUGGCACCAAGGUGAGCCCUGGUGGGCCCUGCUCUGUAUGGGAAAGAAAUGCCAGAGCCUCCAGGGGCCCCACUUCCCCUUGUUUCACCUGGAAAAGGGAAGGACUUCAUUGUUCUCACUCCCCUACUCCAGCUGGGGUGGGGAGGAGUGGAAGGAGGAGGAGGACCUCAGGCCAGCUGCUCUUUGGGGGAGCACCCUGAGCAGGCGAGGAUGUACCCCAACCCCCACCCCGACCAGCUCUUUUCAGAUGCCCCAGGUUUCCUUCAUCCUCACACUUCCCCGACAAAACAGACUUCAGAGCCCCCACCCCCACGGCACUCUGGCCCGGCCCCCAGUCCCCUGGGGUGGGGCAGCUGCUGCCCUGUUUACUGUGCUUUGACAAUAGCGCUCUGUGGUGUGGAACACCCUGCUGUGUGUCCACGCCCCACACCCACCCCGGCCCGUGCCAGCCUCCACCAAACACCCCCUCCGCAAGCCUGGAUCUAGCCCAGGGCUGGCCAGGGAGACAUCAUGGGCACCCAUGGGGCUGGGGAGAGGCGCAUGCCACACACACACACACAGAGCAAGGGUGGCUGCAUGCAAGCGGCGAUGUAAGAGGCUGGGGUCACAGCUACGGUGCCAGCCCCACCCACACCCGACCUGCCACCGGGCACCUCCACCGCGUAACUGCAGCAACAGGCCGUGGCUGCCUCCUGGUUGCUAUAGCAGCGGCCGCGCACGAGCUGAGCUGCAGGGAGGGAGAGGAGAGGCCUGCUGGGCAGGCGGGCAGCCAGAGGGGCAUCUGGUUACAGGCAGGCAACACAGGUUCAGCCCCAUCUGGACACCUGACCUAGGCACCCCACCCGGAGCCCUGCAAGGUGGUCCAAUCCCUGUCCCUGGUGCCCCAAUGAAGUCCCUGGGGCCUGGGUGCCCUGGCCAGGCCUGCAUCCCCUCCUGCUUUGUCAAGGGCAGAGCAGAUGAGACCUGAGGGGGGAGUUCUGCCUCCCACCCCAGCAACCUAGAGACAGCGACCUGGUCCCCCCACCAGGAGCAGCCUGUGGCCCCACCGUAGACCCACAUCCAGCUAACAGGGAGGGGAUAGGCCACACUCACAGAUGAGAAACUGAGGCACAGAGCUUAGGAAGAGGGAGCAAGCAAGGCACCCAGGCCCUGGGUGCCUCCCCUCCAGACCAGGCAGGCUUUCCGCAGGGCACAUCCCCCUCAGCGAGGCCACCAGCAUGCAGGCAAAACCUCUGCUGGCCAAGCCCAAGGGUCCAACUCUGAAGCCCAAGACCCUCCUGGGAAAGUGGGGGUCUGGCAGGAACAUGCCCAGCAUCGGGCCAGCCCCAGCCCCAGCCCCACAUUGUGAGCUCGGCAAGCCCUCAGCCACCCUGGAGAAAGAAUUUCUGGUUCGCUGUAGCCACAGGCUAAGGAUCUCCAUGUGCUCUAACCAGCCCCUGCAAACACCAUGGGGCAGGGGCACAGGGAGCUUUUGGGGAGGCCCAACCUAACAGGUGGAGGCCACUCCUGGAUACAGGACAGUGGGCACCUCUCACCUGCUUGCCGGGUGCCCCACAAGCCACUGCUUCCUGCCCUGAACCUUGGGGUCCCCAGUGGAUGCAGGGGCCAUCAUUCUAGCUCCUGCUCCCAGCCCCAGUGGGUCCUUCUUGCCAAGAGCCCGAGGCUGAUACUGAUGCAUGCCCACAUCUCAAUGCCCCUCCCCCUGAGCCCCGCCCUGCUGUCCCCAGUGACCCAGAACCUGAGGCAGAAGAAGCUGCACCAGAGGCCGCCUGGGGCUGCAGGCCUGAUCCACAGGACCCAGCCAGCCAGCCCCAGGCACGCUGGGCAGGGAGUGUACCUGACCCUGGCUCCCUGCCAGGGCCAGGUGCCCAGGGGAAUCCUGCCAGGCCAUGGUGAUGAAGGCCACCCUGCCCUGUCCGCAGCCCCGGGGUUCCCAUUGUGCACUUUGAAGCCCUUCUCAAGGAGGGACCCAGGCAGGAGCUGGUCGGCCCAAAGGGUCCCAGGGCCAGAUGAGACAGGAGCCUCCCAGGCCCCAAGUAGGCAAGAGGAUGCUUCCUUCUCAGGGUCCUGACCCCAGCCCCUUCUGGGCCCCAUCCUGGAAAAUCCCCCGGGCUUGUUCAGAAACCCGAGCUGCCCAGGAUUCUCUGGUGUGUGUGCUGCUGCUGGCUAGGCAGGCCAGCAGGAGACGCCCCUGCCCUGCCCAGGGCUGAGGCGGUGAUGGCCAGCAUGAUGACAUCCAUACUGCCCCAGCCCUGCUUCUCACCAGGGCUUCUGUCCCUGACAGUGGCUGUGCCCCGCACCCUCAGGACCUGGGCUGCCCCAGGCACAGGGCAGAGCUGGGGAACGUGGUGGUCAUAGCUCCAAGCAGCAGGACCUGGCCCCUAGAGGAGCCUGGAAGGGAGAAUCAGAGAGUGGAUCAGCCUCAGGGAAGAUAGCCCCAAAGGACAAAAGGGUGCAGGGACUUGGGCUGGCCGGGGGUGGCACAGCAAGGACAUUCCCGGUGGUGAGAAAGCACUAGCCAGGGCUAGUGGACGUGAUCGCGGGGUGUGGAGGAGGAGGAGGAGGAGGACAUGGAGGAGGAGGACGAGGAGGAGGAUGUGGAGGAGGAGGAGGAUGACGAGGAGGAGGAGGAGUGCCUGCCCAAGGGCAGAGGAGUGGUGUAGGGAGGGAAGGGACAGGGUCCCUGCAGGGGUUCCAGGGGGCCUGGGCCCAGAGACCAUAGAGCUUCUGAGCUGGAUCGAGUCCCCCAAGCCAGCCCUCCGUCCGGGGAAGCAGGGGCUCCCGCGACCCCAGGGUCCCUGGGGCCGCCCCCACCCCCACCCCCGCAGCUGGCCCGGGAGAGCGAAGAGCGCGCUGCGGAGGGCGCCCGUCCCGUGACUCAGCCGAGCACCGUGAAUGUCAACGGGCGCGGGCGGCGGACUGGGCUCGGUCGAGUCCCUUCCCCGGAGGCCGCAGCGCGGCAGGGGCGGGCAGGCGGGGCACGGCUGGGAAAGGACGCCCGCCCGCCGCCCGCUCCGUCCGGGGUCUGCGCGCGCCCGUCCCGCCGGCCGCACGUGCGCGCGGGGAGCGCGCCGCUGGCCACGGUGCGCGCGGCCUCCGACUCCCGACAGGCCCGCGGCGCGCAGGGUCGCUCACCGGGCUCCGGCGCUUCAGCGUCACGUUCUUCCAGAGCAGCAGCUGCAGCUGGUGCAAGAAGCCCAUGGCGGGGCCGCGCUUCGGCCGCCUCCGAGACGCGGCCCGCUCCUCUGCGCGCCCCGCCCCAGCCCCGCCGCUCGCCGCGCCGCUCGGCAUCGCCCGCGCGGGGGCGGGGGUCUCCGGCGUCGGGACCGGCUCCCGCGCUGGCUCCGCCCCGGCGG